Molecule: ribosomal RNA, 910 nt
Filed under: Cortinarius cruentoides
Lineage: Eukaryota; Fungi; Basidiomycota; Agaricomycetes; Agaricales; Cortinariaceae
Description: partial large subunit ribosomal RNA
Rfam family: Eukaryotic large subunit ribosomal RNA
Source: RNAcentral
CAUAUCAAUAAGCGGAGGAAAAGAAACUAACAAGGAUUCCCCUAGUAACUGCGAGUGAAGCGGGAAAAGCUCAAAUUUAAAAUCUGGCAGUCUAUGGCUGUCCGAGUUGUAAUCUAGAGAAGCGUUAUCCGCGCUGGACCGUGUACAAGUCUCCUGGAAUGGAGCGUCAUAGAGGGUGAGAAUCCCGUCUUUGACACGGACUACCAGGGCUUUGUGAUGCGCUCUCAAAGAGUCGAGUUGUUUGGGAAUGCAGCUCAAAAUGGGUGGUAAAUUCCAUCUAAAGCUAAAUAUUGGCGAGAGACCGAUAGCGAACAAGUACCGUGAGGGAAAGAUGAAAAGAACUUUGGAAAGAGAGUUAAACAGUACGUGAAAUUGCUGAAAGGGAAACGCUUGAAGUCAGUCGCGUUGUCCAGGGAUCAACCUUGCUUUUGCUUGGUGCACUUUCUGGUUGACGGGUCAGCAUCAAUUUUGACUAUUGGAAAAAGAUUAGGGGAAUGUGGCAUCUUUGGAUGUGUUAUAGCCCUUAGUUGCAUACAAUGGUUGGGAUUGAGGAACUCAGCACGCCGCAAGGCCGGGUUUUUAACCACGUACGUGCUUAGGAUGCUGGCAUAAUGGCUUUAAUCGACCCGUCUUGAAACACGGACCAAGGAGUCUAACAUGCCUGCGAGUGUUUGGGUGGAAAACCCGAGCGCGUAAUGAAAGUGAAAGUUGAGAUCCCUGUCGUGGGGAGCAUCGACGCCCGGACCAGACCUUUUGUGACGGUUCCGCGGUAGAGCAUGUAUGUUGGGACCCGAAAGAUGGUGAACUAUGCCUGAAUAGGGUGAAGCCAGAGGAAACUCUGGUGGAGGCUCGUAGCGAUUCUGACGUGCAAAUCGAUCGUCAAAUUUGGGUAUAGGGGCGAAAGACUAAU